CACAGCCAUGGCCACAUAAGUACAGUUUUGGUCUCCGUCUUGGACUCGGUCUUGGACUCCGUCUUGGACUCGGUUCCUGUGGUGUUCCGCCGGGAGGUGCAGUUGGAUCGACCGCGAUGGAAGUCGUGAAGGAGUUGUACAACUCUGUUAAGUCAGACAGCAAUAGAGCCUUGGACUGCAGAUCCAAGAGGUCACAGGGUUCAAAUCCCCCCUUGAAUAUCGCUUUGGCCUGUGCCCUGCAAGCCAUCCUUUUAACCCCGUCGUGGACGACCCGCCGGCCAGUCUAACGGGAACCCGCCUGCCUGUUCCUCUGGGACCGCUAAUGCAGCGCUUACGUGUCUGAUGUAAGGCCUCGUGCUGAGGGGAUUUCGGAAGAUUUCAUAUUGUGAGUCACACACG
Hypomesus transpacificus is the source of this 399-nucleotide long non-coding RNA. RefSeq lists it as uncharacterized. The record is from RefSeq and is a predicted model, not a curated record. The transcript has 3 exons. Lineage: Eukaryota; Metazoa; Chordata; Actinopteri; Osmeriformes; Osmeridae.